UGGGGAAUAUUGCACAAUGGGGGAAACCCUGAUGCAGCGACGCCGCGUGAGUGAUGAAGUAUUUCGGUAUGUAAAGCUCUAUCAGCAGGGAAGAUAAUGACGGUACCUGACUAAGAAGCACCGGCUAAAUACGUGCCAGCAGCCGCGGUAAUACGUAUGGUGCAAGCGUUAUCCGGAUUUACUGGGUGUAAAGGGUGCGUAGGUGGCAAGGCAAGUCUGAAGUGAAAAUCCGGGGCUCAACCCCGGAACU
RNAcentral lists this ribosomal RNA (250 nucleotides) under uncultured bacterium. RNAcentral's name for it is "partial 16S ribosomal RNA". It matches the Rfam family "Bacterial small subunit ribosomal RNA", at positions 355 to 622 of the family's 1533-position model. The record is from RNAcentral.